This 72-nucleotide transfer RNA is filed under the name Camelus bactrianus (Bactrian camel). It matches the Rfam family "tRNA". From Rfam's summary of the family: Transfer RNA (tRNA) molecules are approximately 80 nucleotides in length. Their secondary structure includes four short double-helical elements and three loops (D, anti-codon, and T loops). Further hydrogen bonds mediate the characteristic L-shaped molecular structure. tRNAs have two regions of fundamental functional importance: the anti-codon, which is responsible for specific mRNA codon recognition, and the 3' end, to which the tRNAs corresponding amino acid is attached (by aminoacyl-tRNA synthetases). tRNAs cope with the degeneracy of the genetic code in two manners: having more than one tRNA (with a specific anti-codon) for a particular amino acid; and 'wobble' base-pairing, i.e. permitting non-standard base-pairing at the 3rd anti-codon position. Lineage: Eukaryota; Metazoa; Chordata; Mammalia; Artiodactyla; Camelidae. RNAcentral also lists the same sequence under 1 other name. The record is from Rfam by way of RNAcentral.
GAGGGUAUAGCUCAGUGGUAUGGCGCAUGCUUAGCAUGCACAACGUCCUGGGUUCAAUCCCCAGUACUUCCA